GCCUGGGUGGCUCAGUCGGUUAAGCGUCUGACUUUGGCUCAGGUCAUGAUCUCACGGUUCGUGAGUUCGAGCCCCGCAUCGGGCU
RNAcentral lists this transfer RNA (85 nucleotides) under Felis catus (domestic cat). It matches the Rfam family "tRNA". Rfam says of the family: Transfer RNA (tRNA) molecules are approximately 80 nucleotides in length. Their secondary structure includes four short double-helical elements and three loops (D, anti-codon, and T loops). Further hydrogen bonds mediate the characteristic L-shaped molecular structure. tRNAs have two regions of fundamental functional importance: the anti-codon, which is responsible for specific mRNA codon recognition, and the 3' end, to which the tRNAs corresponding amino acid is attached (by aminoacyl-tRNA synthetases). tRNAs cope with the degeneracy of the genetic code in two manners: having more than one tRNA (with a specific anti-codon) for a particular amino acid; and 'wobble' base-pairing, i.e. permitting non-standard base-pairing at the 3rd anti-codon position. The record is from Rfam by way of RNAcentral. RNAcentral also lists the same sequence under 2 other names. Lineage: Eukaryota; Metazoa; Chordata; Mammalia; Carnivora; Felidae.